CAUGCAGUCGACGGUGAACACGGAGCUUGCUCUGUGGGAUCAGUGGCGAACGGGUGAGUAACACGUGAGCAACCUGCCCCUGACUCUGGGAUAAGCGCUGGAAACGGCGUCUAAUACUGGAUAUGUGACGUGACCGCAUGGUCUGCGUCUGGAAAGAAUUUCGGUUGGGGAUGGGCUCGCGGCCUAUCAGCUUGUUGGUGAGGUAAUGGCUCACCAAGGCGUCGACGGGUAGCCGGCCUGAGAGGGUGACCGGCCACACUGGGACUGAGACACGGCCCAGACUCCUACGGGAGGCAGCAGUGGGGAAUAUUGCACAAUGGGCGCAAGCCUGAUGCAGCAACGCCGCGUGAGGGACGACGGCCUUCGGGUUGUAAACCUCUUUUAGCAGGGAAGAAGCGAAAGUGACGGUACCUGCAGAAAAAGCGCCGGCUAACUACGUGCCAGCAGCCGCGGUAAUACGUAGGGCGCAAGCGUUAUCCGGAAUUAUUGGGCGUAAAGAGCUCGUAGGCGGUUUGUCGCGUCUGCUGUGAAAUCCGGAGGCUCAACCUCCGGCCUGCAGUGGGUACGGGCAGACUAGAGUGCGGUAGGGGAGAUUGGAAUUCCUGGUGUAGCGGUGGAAUGCGCAGAUAUCAGGAGGAACACCGAUGGCGAAGGCAGAUCUCUGGGCCGUAACUGACGCUGAGGAGCGAAAGGGUGGGGAGCAAACAGGCUUAGAUACCCUGGUAGUCCACCCCGUAAACGUUGGGAACUAGUUGUGGGGUCCAUUCCACGGAUUCCGUGACGCAGCUAACGCAUUAAGUUCCCCGCCUGGGGAGUACGGCCGCAAGGCUAAAACUCAAAGGAAUUGACGGGGACCCGCACAAGCGGCGGAGCAUGCGGAUUAAUUCGAUGCAACGCGAAGAACCUUACCAAGGCUUGACAUAUACGAGAACGGGCCAGAAAUGGUCAACUCUUUGGACACUCGUAAACAGGUGGUGCAUGGUUGUCGUCAGCUCGUGUCGUGAGAUGUUGGGUUAAGUCCCGCAACGAGCGCAACCCUCGUUCUAUGUUGCCAGCACGUAAUGGUGGGAACUCAUGGGAUACUGCCGGGGUCAACUCGGAGGAAGGUGGGGAUGACGUCAAAUCAUCAUGCCCCUUAUGUCUUGGGCUUCACGCAUGCUACAAUGGCCGGUACAAAGGGCUGCAAUACCGCGAGGUGGAGCGAAUCCCAAAAAGCCGGUCCCAGUUCGGAUUGAGGUCUGCAACUCGACCUCAUGAAGUCGGAGUCGCUAGUAAU
Molecule: ribosomal RNA, 1276 nt
Filed under: Microbacterium sp. ALBL_010
Lineage: Bacteria; Bacillati; Actinomycetota; Actinomycetes; Micrococcales; Microbacteriaceae
Description: bacterial SSU rRNA
Rfam family: Bacterial small subunit ribosomal RNA
Source: RNAcentral